UCAUGUGUAGGUGACUGAGGAAGUCGUGACAGGAUCAACAGAACUUUAUCGUAAAUAUCGUGGAAAAUUUCCAGAAAAGAUCGUUCAAGAGUGACCUAACCAUAAGAAUAUAAAUAGUUCUUCCUGUUUGAAGAACUGAAUAACAGGGAAAAUGCUUGAUCGAAAAUGACUCAGCUGUUCAUCAGUGGCAUUCGACGUCAUUUUCCAUUCCUGGUUGACAUCGUCAUUUGAUGUAGAAUCGUCAUCACAUUCAAAUAACUGAAAGUUGGGGUCCUUUAGAAGGAUAACACCGCUGAUUCGUUGAACCUGAUAGAGAAAUGUAAUAAUUCCGUCACUCAUUUAUCAUUAAUUAAGAAAGACUUACUCUUGCCAUGUAUUCGACUACAUCUCGCAUAUUUCGUGGAUAUCCCGUGACGAGAACGGCAUCAACGUUUAUGAUUUCCGAUGAAAUUCGAUUGAUAAAAACUUCAAGAGCUUUGGAGGGCGGAAUCAUGUCUGUAUCUUGGCUGCCUAAAAUAGACGUCAUCAAAACCUACAGUGCCGAAGUCUUCAGCUUAAUUUUUAUAACGGAUUUACCAAUAGUAGAAACGACUUCAAGAAAUAUCGGCAUCAUAUCAACAUGGUGUAAUCUUCCGCUGAUUUCCGUAAGAUGUUUUAAAUUGGUUAUAAUUUCUGAUCUUUGCAUUUCUUUGUGAAUAAGGAUUUUUUCGUAUUUAAAAAAAAAAAAAAGUCAUGUAAUAGAUUUAGAAAAAAGCAAUUUUAAUCAGUGAACAGUUUUACCUGCGUCCAAAACGAAAAUUAUAUUAAUUUUCGGAAUGUUGUAAAUAUCCGAUUCCUGAUUCAAAUUUGAUUUGAUGAAUUAAUUUUAUUGCCAUUGCCUAAUAAGCCAAGAUUUUAAAUGUACCUUGAU
Molecule: long non-coding RNA, 910 nt
Organism: Daphnia pulex (common water flea)
Lineage: Eukaryota; Metazoa; Arthropoda; Branchiopoda; Diplostraca; Daphniidae
Exons: 4
Source: RefSeq, a predicted model, not a curated record